This 675-nucleotide long non-coding RNA is filed under the name Marmota monax (woodchuck). The record is from RNAcentral. Lineage: Eukaryota; Metazoa; Chordata; Mammalia; Rodentia; Sciuridae.
UCUUACAGGAAGGAAAGAGGUGUUCUUCCUUCUCUGCCUCAACUCUAUAGUACCUCUUUUCCCACUCCUAACACCACAUCAUCCCAUCUUGUAUCCGGCUACCUUCUCUUCAUCCCUCAGAACUCUCUGGGCACUCAUCCCCUAUGCAGGAAAGCUCGGUGGAUGUGUGAUCUGACUAUGAGAGCACUCCUUCAUCUUACCACAUCACUGUAUCUUUGAGCUCUAAAGAGUGGGCUAUUUUUCUACAUCCUAUACUAGACUAUAAAUCUCCUGGGAAUUGUACUUUGUAUUGCUAACAUCUAGCAAGGCUUGUAAUGACAUACAAACCAUUUUAUUAAAAUUUGUUCUUGAGUGAAGUCAAGUUCAUCUCUAGAAACAACACUGUACAGGGUGUUUGAAUUUCUCGAUUAAAUAGCACUUGAGAUACUCUUUCAGGCAUUGUGGAUUAAAUAAAUAAAGUGCAGUAGUUGACCUGAGGACAUAACUGUUUCCAAAAAAUGUUUCAAAACACUGCCAUUUAUAAGUAAGGGGUCUGCCUGCAUAUUUAGUGGUAUGCCUAUGUAUUUUUUAUAUCUAUAUAACUGAAUAUGUUUUAAAGCUUAAUUAUGUGUUUGUAAAACAUUGUGUAUGUGUGUACAUAUGUAUGUGUAUAUACAUAUAUAUCCAUGUAAUUUC